ACGGACAGCUGGAUGGCCGCGUGGCGUCUUGCGCCAUGAGGAAAGUCCGGACUCCAAGAGACAACGGUGCCGGGUAACACCCGGCCAGGGCAACCUGAGGGAAAGCGCCACAGAAAGCAAACCGCCUGUGUAGGCAAGGGUGAAAGGGUGAGGUAAGAGCUCACCG
This 166-nucleotide RNase P RNA is filed under the name Paracoccaceae bacterium. RNAcentral's name for it is "Rhodobacteraceae bacterium partial RNase P RNA component class A". It matches the Rfam family "Bacterial RNase P class A", at positions 1 to 180 of the family's 367-position model. From Rfam's summary of the family: Ribonuclease P (RNase P) is a ubiquitous endoribonuclease, found in archaea, bacteria and eukarya as well as chloroplasts and mitochondria. The record is from RNAcentral. Lineage: Bacteria; Pseudomonadati; Pseudomonadota; Alphaproteobacteria; Rhodobacterales; Paracoccaceae.